AUGGGAAGAGUGACAGUACAGGUCAAGGUGGAUUCGUGGGGCUAUAAAGCUUGUUUGCUGCAAUGCACUCUUGACUCUGUCAGUGAACGGCUACCCACACGCACACCCACAUGUCACCGGCCCUCUUCAACCUGGCUGUCCUUCAGUUCCCAACAUUAGGCUCCAAUCAUGUUCUGUUCGGUUGUGGAAUGGUCUCAGUCCAUAUCUCAUCUUGCAGUGCCUAAUUUUACCAACAAUUUUCGAACAGCAUAUGUUCUCACAAUAACAAGGCUUAGGAGGAUUAUCUGUGAGCUGGGAACCAAUGAACUCCAAUAUUAUGCUUAUACGGAUAGUGAUAGAUCAGCUUUAUCAGGGUUACA
Long non-coding RNA from Lepisosteus oculatus (spotted gar), 359 nucleotides. RefSeq lists it as uncharacterized. Lineage: Eukaryota; Metazoa; Chordata; Actinopteri; Semionotiformes; Lepisosteidae. The record is from RefSeq and is a predicted model, not a curated record.